Long non-coding RNA from Jatropha curcas, 380 nucleotides. RefSeq lists it as uncharacterized. The record is from RefSeq and is a predicted model, not a curated record. NCBI's taxonomy places the organism in Eukaryota, Viridiplantae, Streptophyta, Magnoliopsida, Malpighiales, Euphorbiaceae.
GCCAUGCAAGGUCUACAAUUCCAGCAUCUAUUCUCACAGUUGGGAGGCUUUGAACCUAAGUGCAUUUUUCUUUGCUUCUCUUCUUCGUUUCCUCUUCCUCCUCCUGAUGAUGAUGAUGAUCCAACUGCCACAAAUCAACAAGAUGAGAAGCAGAGUGACCACUGCAACAAUUCUUAGCCCAUUUGGGUAGGAAGCUAAUGAAGCCAUAGGCCUUAUCAAGUGGGUAUGGAAGAAAGUGGGAAGCUAUAUGUUGAUCUAUUGGAGUUAUUAAAAAUACUGUUUUUGUUUCAGUUUUCUUCUAAACGGGUAAGAAAAAGGUAUUUCAAUAUAGAAACUAUUUUCAAGUUCUAUAUACUUAAAAAAAAAAAAAAAAAAAAAAA